GGGUCGUUAGCUCAGUUGGUAGAGCAGUUGACUCUUAAUCAAUUGGUCGGCGGUUCGACCCCGCCACGACCCA
Molecule: transfer RNA, 73 nt
Filed under: Caudoviricetes sp.
Lineage: Duplodnaviria; Heunggongvirae; Uroviricota; Caudoviricetes
Description: tRNA-Lys
Rfam family: tRNA
About the family: Transfer RNA (tRNA) molecules are approximately 80 nucleotides in length. Their secondary structure includes four short double-helical elements and three loops (D, anti-codon, and T loops).
Source: RNAcentral